GAUGAACGCUGGCGGCGUGCUUAACACAUGCAAGUCGAACGGUGAAAGAGGAGCUUGCUCCUCUGGAUCAGUGGCGAACGGGUGAGUAACACGUGAGCAAUCUGCCCCUGACUCUGGGAUAACAGCUGGAAACAGCUGCUAAUACCGGAUACGAGACGUGAUCGCAUGAUCAACGUCUGGAAAGAACUUCGGUCAGGGAUGAGCUCACGGCCUAUCAGCUUGUUGGUGAGGUAAUGGCUCACCAAGGCGACGACGGGUAGCCGGCCUGAGAGGGUGACCGGCCACACUGGGACUGAGACACGGCCCAGACUCCUACGGGAGGCAGCAGUGGGGAAUAUUGCACAAUGGGCGCAAGCCUGAUGCAGCAACGCCGCGUGAGGGACGACGGCCUUCGGUGUAACCUCUUUAGCAAGAAGAAGACGAAAGUAGACGGUACUUAGCAAGAAAAGACGACGGCUAACUACGU
RNAcentral lists this ribosomal RNA (466 nucleotides) under uncultured bacterium. RNAcentral describes it as "bacterial SSU rRNA". It matches the Rfam family "Bacterial small subunit ribosomal RNA", at positions 28 to 506 of the family's 1533-position model. The record is from RNAcentral.